Molecule: long non-coding RNA, 1332 nt
Filed under: Bos grunniens (domestic yak)
Lineage: Eukaryota; Metazoa; Chordata; Mammalia; Artiodactyla; Bovidae
Description: lncRNA (ENSBGRG00000012054.1)
Source: RNAcentral
CUCAGGGAAGGACAACCAAGCCCAUUGUAGCUUUGAUCCUUCCUGCAAAACACUGGGAACACAGAAAACCUCAGCCUUUUCAUUUUCGUAUUCACAAAGCUCAGUGAGUGAGAGCUUAAAAACUUGUGGAGGAGACCUUUAGAGAGGCCACAGGGAGGACACUCCCCACCCCCUCUGCCACCAUCUGAGUCUAGCUCUGCUUGCUAAGCCCGUGGCAGAAACAAGUGGCUCAGACGAGCCUGGCUCCUCAGACCCAGCUCAGACUGGCUGCAGCCGAUGUGUGCUGCGCUGGAGGGAGGAGAUUGGGAUCAGGAGCCCCACAGCUCUCACCUGCCACACCCUUCUGCAGGUCCUCAACCCACUGCACUGCCCUGGGCCCGGACUCCAGUGAAAGCAGGGCAUCUGUAUUCUUCAUCCAUAUGAAGAAGCGAGGAAGUGUGAAGGUUAAUUUUCUUGAGCAGCCAUGCCAACGUUGUGCAGGCAUCACAGAGGGUUUGAGGAUUUAGAAAUCGUUAUUUAGGGGAAAAAUUAAAGGACAUGUGAAGAAAGAACCAGAUACAAGGAAGCAGGAAGUGCUCUCAACGCUGCAAGGUCACCGAUUCAGAAAGCAGAGGAUAGAAGUGGGGAAUGAAAAAAAGAAUGGCAUCCAGGAAAGAGAUUUUGGUGCCAACCACUGGACAUCUGUGUGUUCUUUGCUCUUUGUCUCUUUGGGGCAGCUGCUGGGGGUGGGUACAAGGUGUGCAGGGGCUUUGGGCUGUGUGCACAGACAUUUGUUGACAAUAGACCAGUUUCAGUUUGGUUUGAAACUAUUAAAAUUUUAUUUUUAUUGGUGUCUCAGAAAGGCAGUGAUUGUUCUGUUCCCCUGGCACAUCUAUCCCAGAGGCAGGUUGUAACUCGUCCUGUUUGCCCAAGCCUUAGUAGAGUCCCCAGGGAAGGGACAGUCAGAUGGUGUCAAUUUGAAAGCAAAUGUGUCUCCUGAUCAAAAGAAACCCACUGAGGUGGAGGCUUGUCACCUUCUUCCCCUCCAUCUUCCAGCUCUUGUGCUUGGCACCUUUUUUCCUGUGGACAGUCCGACCCAGCUGGAAAGCUCUGACUAUUUGUAGGCAGCUGGGAACACAGUUUUGUGUCAACAGGGAGGUUGGGGUUUAAUGGAGAAUGAUUCCUCAGGCUCCUGAGCAGUCUUUCACAAAUGGCAGCUCAAACGUUUCACCAGUGGAGAGUAGGGAGCACUUCUUGGUAUUUUUCAGACCCAAGCGCAGCCACUUAUUGGCUGCGUGACAGUGGGCAGGUGGCUUAACUUCUCUGAACCUCAGACUUCUCAUUUUGCUAUCA